This 253-nucleotide ribosomal RNA is filed under the name uncultured bacterium. RNAcentral describes it as "partial 16S ribosomal RNA". It matches the Rfam family "Bacterial small subunit ribosomal RNA", at positions 524 to 776 of the family's 1533-position model. The record is from RNAcentral.
UACGUAGGGUGCGAGCGUUGUCCGGAAUUAUUGGGCGUAAAGAGCUCGUAGGUGGUCCGUCACGUCGGGUGUGAAAACCCAGGGCUCAACCCUGGGCGUGCAGUCGAUACUGACGAGCUCGAGUUCGGUAGAGGGUGACGGAAUUCCCGGUGUAGCGGUGAAAUGCGUAGAUAUCGGGAGGAACAUCGAUGGCGAAGGCAAUCACCUGGGCCUGAACUGACACUGAGACACGAAAGCGUGGGUAGCAAACAGG